CAGCAGCCGCGGUAAUACGUAGGGGGCGAGCGUUGUCCGAAGUUACUGGGCGUAAAGCGCGCGUAGGCGGCUUCUUAAGUCUGAGGUGAAAGGUUCAACGCUUAACGUGAACAAUGCCUUGGAUACUGGGGAGCUUGAGUAUGGGAGAGGGCAGUGGAAUGGCUGGUGUAGCGGUGAAAUGCGUAGAUAUCAGUCGGAACACCCAUGGCGAAGGCAGCUGCCUGGCCUAAUACUGACGCUGAGGUGCGAAAGCGUGGGGAGCGAACGGGAUCAGAUACCCCGGUAGUCCCUGUCUCUUAUA
Molecule: ribosomal RNA, 301 nt
Filed under: uncultured bacterium
Lineage: Bacteria
Description: partial 16S ribosomal RNA
Rfam family: Bacterial small subunit ribosomal RNA
Source: RNAcentral